RNAcentral lists this ribosomal RNA (118 nucleotides) under Oncorhynchus kisutch (coho salmon). The record is from RNAcentral. Lineage: Eukaryota; Metazoa; Chordata; Actinopteri; Salmoniformes; Salmonidae.
GCUUACGACCACACCACCCCUGAGUACGCCUGAUCUCGUCUGAUCUCGGAAGCUAAGCAGGUCGGGCCUGGUUAGUACUUGAUGGGAGACCGCCUGGGAUACCAGGUGGCUGUAAGCU